RNAcentral lists this transfer RNA (83 nucleotides) under Malassezia sympodialis ATCC 42132. RNAcentral describes it as "tRNA-Ser (TGA) (tRNA-Ser-TGA-1-1)". It matches the Rfam family "tRNA". From Rfam's summary of the family: Transfer RNA (tRNA) molecules are approximately 80 nucleotides in length. Their secondary structure includes four short double-helical elements and three loops (D, anti-codon, and T loops). The record is from RNAcentral. Lineage: Eukaryota; Fungi; Basidiomycota; Malasseziomycetes; Malasseziales; Malasseziaceae.
GGCAACUUGCCAGAGUGGUCUAAUGGGUGAGACUUGAAAUCUCAUGGGCUCCGCCCGCACAGGUUCGAACCCUGUAGUUGUCG